RNAcentral lists this ribosomal RNA (95 nucleotides) under Castor canadensis (American beaver). The record is from RNAcentral. Lineage: Eukaryota; Metazoa; Chordata; Mammalia; Rodentia; Castoridae.
AUCUACAGCCAUGCCACCCUGAAUGCGCCUGAUCUCGUAAGCUAAGCAGGGUCGGUUAGCAGAUGGACAGGAAGAGCUGGUUGCUGCUGCAGUGG